UAGGGGAUGACUUUCAAAAAUAAUAACUUUCGUUCUACCGAUUUACAUCAAACGAUGGUGAGGACAACUUUUCUUUACUGAUC
This is a small nucleolar RNA of 83 nucleotides. It matches the Rfam family "Small nucleolar RNA snR54". Rfam says of the family: snR54 is a member of the C/D class of snoRNA which contain the C (UGAUGA) and D (CUGA) box motifs. Most of the members of the box C/D family function in directing site-specific 2'-O-methylation of substrate RNAs. The record is from Rfam.